CGGCCAGGCCCAUCAUCCAGCCCACUCUCUCUUCACCCAAAGCUUGGCCAGCCACUCCCCCCUCUGGCGCCGCCGAGCUCUCCGCUGCCGUGCCGCCGUCGCGCUCGCAUCCUCCUUUUCCCCAACCCCAUCUCUCCGGUCAGGCUCGGGUCGACCGGCGCGCGCGGGCGGCGGGGGUCCAGUGGAGGACUCUCCGGCGAGGGAACAUCAGUCUUCUCCCCACUUUCCUCGGAGAGGGAGGCGGCGACCUCGUAUCCGGUGGCGCGGCCAUCAGGAAACGGCGACCUCGAGCCAGCGAGGGCUACUAGGUCUUGCAGCGGACAGACCCAUACGGAGAAAACCUAGAACAUGGGAGCAUAGCGGCGGUGAGAUUGUGUUGACAAGUUAGCGCGGGUUGCGUUUGUAACACUAGCAUACACCAACCAAGCCAGUGCGCGCACCUUGGAAUUUUGUUGGCGAUGGAUGGCAGUAGCUCCAGCAAGAGAAAAGCCGAAGCGCAGCGAGAGGGAGAGAGCAGCGCCAAAAGGCUGAAUGUCACUGUGGGGAUGGAGCACCUUGACUGCCCCAUCUGCUUGAAGCCCCUCAGGCCUCCAAUACUCCAGUGCUCCGUGGGGCAUUUCGUAUGCUCGCAUUGCUGUACGCAUCAACUGGAUGGCAAGUGCCAUUUAUGCUCUGUAGAGACUACAUUCGAGCGCUGCUUUGGGAUGGAACAUGUUGUCGAGUCAGUCACAGUAGCUUGCUCCAAUGAGAUGUACGGAUGUGCCGAGACAGUCACCUACUACAAGAAAGAAGAGCACAAGGAGGCAUGCCCAUACGCCCCAUGCUUCUGCCCAGAGCCUGGUUGUGGCUUCGCUGGACCAACAAAGGUGCUCCUGGAACAUUUCACGACCCAGCACAAGUGUCCAUUGACAACCCUCCCAGACUCUGGCACAGUGUCUCUCUGCCUGCAGCCGGGCUUACAUGUUUUGCAAUGCACCAGGAACAGCUACUUUUUCUUGCUCAGCAUGGCAUCAGAGCCUUUUGGACAUGUCAUCUCAGUCGUCUGUGUCAAACCAAACAGGAGGAAAUCGAAGUUCACAUGUAAUCUGAGUUACGACUGCAUAACAACUGGCUGUUGUGGAAGUACAAACUGCCACAUAAGGAGCUCUUCACUCUCUGAUGGGCUUCCGACAGUGUAUGACUUAAUACUUCCCAAGGGAAAGGUUUCUGACGAUGCAAACGGUAUCAUGCUUAGAGCCACCAUUAAUUAUCAAACUAUAAGUCACAGCAGAUCUUGUUUUCGAGGGAAGGGACUGACUUCUGCACUUCAACAAAGGCCCAAUACUUGUGAUGAUGAUGAUGAUGAUGCGGAUUAUAUACCUAAAAGUCGUAGAAGAUCUCCCCCUGCUAAGGAGGAGGAGGUGGUGGAGCAGGAUGGGAAUGAUGAGGACAAUGAGGAGGAGGAGGAGAAUGAUGAGAAUAAUGAGGAGGAGGAGGAGGAUGAAAGACCUUUAAGUGUCAGAAGAUCCCACCCUGCUGAGGAGGAGGAUGAAAGACCUUUAAUUCUCAGAAGAUCCCACCCUGCUGUUCAACGAAGGCCCAAUACUUAUCAUGAUGAUGGGCAGGUGGAGGAGGACGAGGAGGAUGCUAGACCUGUAAGUGUCAGCAGACCCCGUCUUCAGGGAAUGGCUCCGGCUCGUGGUGUUCAACAAAGGCACUAUUCUGAUACCGAUGAGGAUGAUUUACCUAUAGCUUUCAGCAGAGCCCGUCUCCGAGGAAUGCGUCCAGCUCCUGCAGUUCAAGAAAGGCACUAUUUUGACACCAGUGAUGAGGAUGAUUUACCUAUAGCUUUCAGACCCUUUAUUCGAGGAACGGCUUAGACUCCUGCAGUUCAAAGAAGGGGCGUAUUCUGAUACUGAUGGUGAGGAUGAGAGGCCUUUAUGUUCCAGGCUUCCCGUACGCUAAAGGUUUUCCGUGCACUUGCUGUUCUUCUGCCUGGCUUGCACCGUUCUGGUUCCAGGAUAUAUAUGUGAAGUCUCUAUUUCUGGCCUCAAGUAUCGCCUCACCGUUGUUAAGCAUUGCUUCAGCUCCUUGAACACAUUACUGGGCAGCGUGUGGCUGCAGAGUCUGAAUGCAGCUUUGGGUUUGAUGAUGAUACCGCUGAUCCAAUUUACGAGGAAAUCAAGCUCCUGGCGAAGUUUCUUCCAUGGGCAACCUUCCAAAUGAUGUAAUGGUCAUGAAUAAAUUAGUAGAGGUUACCCUGAGUUUUUACAAGAAGACCGCAAGUUGCUUCAACAAUGUGGCUACUAGAAAACAGUACUGUAUGCUAUGCAGAUCACAAGGUCGCAGAUAGCGGUGCAGUAUCUGCAGGUGAUAAGAUGCGAUGUUUUUUUCUUACUGAAUUCGUGCAGUGGAUGAUCAGAUGUUGUCUGGUUAUCUGAAGAUAGGAACGAAAUCCUCCAUAAUUUGUAGCUGGAGUACUUUGUUACUUUCUGCUUCUUUUUCGGUGAGUUAUACUACUAGAGUUGUUGGACACGCAGAAUUUUUUUUGUGGGAGUAAUCAUGAAUUUUGCCGGUGGAGCAGCUGUGGAGCCUUCUAGUGGCAUUGGUCGUGUGUAACUUUUAUCUCUAGCAACUGAAACAUUUUCGAGUGUUGUGUGAAUAGUC
Molecule: non-coding RNA, 2646 nt
Organism: Triticum urartu
Lineage: Eukaryota; Viridiplantae; Streptophyta; Magnoliopsida; Poales; Poaceae
Source: RefSeq, a predicted model, not a curated record